UACGUAGGGGGCAAGCGUUGUCCGGAUUUAUUGGGCGUAAAGCGCUCGCAGGUGGUUCGAUGCGUCGUGCGUGAAAGACCCCGGCUCAACUGGGGAGGGUCGUGCGAUACGGUCGAACUGGAGGCCAGUAGGGGGAUGCGGAAUUCCGGGUGUAGUGGUGGAAUGCGUAGAGAUCCGGAGGAACACCAGCGGCGAAGGCGGCAUCCUGGACUGGUCCUGACACUCAGGAGCGAAAGCGUGGGGAGCGAACAGG
This 253-nucleotide ribosomal RNA is filed under the name uncultured bacterium. Its description in RNAcentral is "partial 16S ribosomal RNA". It matches the Rfam family "Bacterial small subunit ribosomal RNA", at positions 524 to 776 of the family's 1533-position model. The record is from RNAcentral.